UACGUAGGGUGCGAGCGUUACUCGGAAUUACUGGGCGUAAAGCGUGCGUAGGUGGUUCGUUAAGUCUGAUGUGAAAGCCCUGGGCUCAACCUGGGAAUGGCAUUGGAUACUGGCGAUCUAGAGUGCGGUAGAGGGCAGUGGAAUUCCCGGUGUAGCAGUGAAAUGCGUAGAGAUCGGGAGGAACAUCUGUGGCGAAGGCGACUGCCUGGACCAGCACUGACACUGAGGCACGAAAGCGUGGGGAGCAAACAGG
RNAcentral lists this ribosomal RNA (253 nucleotides) under uncultured bacterium. RNAcentral's name for it is "partial 16S ribosomal RNA". It matches the Rfam family "Bacterial small subunit ribosomal RNA", at positions 524 to 776 of the family's 1533-position model. The record is from RNAcentral.